Mycena galericulata is the source of this 123-nucleotide non-coding RNA. The record is from the annotation of a GenBank genome assembly. NCBI's taxonomy places the organism in Eukaryota, Fungi, Basidiomycota, Agaricomycetes, Agaricales, Mycenaceae.
GACACCCUGGCCGAGUGGUUAAGGCGAUAGAUUAGAAUCCGUGACUGUGCAACGGCGUGACUGUGCCAGGUCGUGACCAUCUAUUGGGAUUUUCCCGCGUAGGUUCGAAUCCUACGGGUGUCG